GCCAGACUCCUACGGGAGGCAGCAGUGGGGAAUAUUGCACAAUGGGGGAAACCCUGAUGCAGCGACGCCGCGUGAGUGAAGAAGUAUUUCGGUAUGUAAAGCUCUCUCAGCAGGGAAGAAAAUGACGGUACCUGAUUAAGAAGCCCCGGCUAACUACGUGCCAGCAGCCGCGGUAAUACGUAGGGGGCGAGCGUUAUCCGGAUUUAUUGGGCGUAAAGCGUGUGUAGGCGGUUUAUUAAGUCUAAGAUUAAAGCCUGGAGCUUAACUUCAGUUCGUCUUAGAAACUGGUAGACUUGAGUGUGGUAGAGGCAAGUGGAAUUUCUAGUGUAGCGGUUAAAUGCGUAGAUAUUAGAAGGAACACCAGUGGCGAAGGCGACUUGCUGGGCCAUUACUGACGCUGAGACACGAAAGCGUGGGGAGCAAAUAGGAUUAGAUACCCCGGUA
This 444-nucleotide ribosomal RNA is filed under the name uncultured bacterium. RNAcentral describes it as "bacterial SSU rRNA". It matches the Rfam family "Bacterial small subunit ribosomal RNA", at positions 330 to 792 of the family's 1533-position model. The record is from RNAcentral.